Molecule: non-coding RNA, 30 nt
Filed under: Rattus norvegicus (Norway rat)
Lineage: Eukaryota; Metazoa; Chordata; Mammalia; Rodentia; Muridae
Source: RNAcentral
UGCUCUAUUACAUUCAUAUGUCAGUCUGCA